RNAcentral lists this transfer RNA (81 nucleotides) under Parachlorella kessleri. RNAcentral's name for it is "tRNA-Leu". It matches the Rfam family "tRNA". From Rfam's summary of the family: Transfer RNA (tRNA) molecules are approximately 80 nucleotides in length. Lineage: Eukaryota; Viridiplantae; Chlorophyta; Trebouxiophyceae; Chlorellales; Chlorellaceae. The record is from RNAcentral.
GCCCUGGUGGUGAAAUGGUAGACACGAUUGAUUCAAAAUCAAUUGCCAAUAGGCGUGGAGGUUCAAUUCCUCUCCAGGGCA